Molecule: ribosomal RNA, 473 nt
Filed under: uncultured bacterium
Lineage: Bacteria
Description: bacterial SSU rRNA
Rfam family: Bacterial small subunit ribosomal RNA
Source: RNAcentral
GCUGAGCACUCCUACGGGAGGCAGCAGUGGGGAAUAUUGCACAAUGGGCGCAAGCCUGAUGCAGCCAUGCCGCGUGUAUGGAAGAAGGCCUUCGGGUUGUAAAGUACUUUCAGCAGUGAGGAAGGUGGGUAUGUUAAUAGCAUAUUCAUUUGACGUUAGCUGCAGAAGAAGCACCGGCUAACUCCGUGCCAGCAGCCGCGGUAAUACGGAGGGUGCGAGCGUUAAUCGGAAUUACUGGGCGUAAAGCGCAUGCAGGUGGUUUGUUAAGUCAGAUGUGAAAGCCCGGGGCUCAACCUCGGAAUUGCAUUUGAAACUGGCAAACUAGAGUACUGUAGAGGGGGUAGAAUUUCAGGUGUAGCGGUGAAAUGCGUAGAGAUCUGAAGGAAUACCGGUGGCGAAGGCGGCCCCCUGGACAGAUACUGACACUCAGAUGCGAAAGCGUGGGGAGCAAACAGGAUUAGAUACCCUGGUAG